GCUGACGCAUUUCCCUCCGCCCUUGGACGCCGCCGCCCGUGGGAGUCGGUUGGGGCGUCUCUGCCUGGGUGUGGGAUCGCUAAUCAUGUCCUCGGGGUCAAGGGGAGUCGGCCGGCGGCGAGUAGGUCGGUAACCCACCGGACCCGUCUUGAAACACGGACCAAGGAGUGCGGCGCGUGCGCGAGUCAUUGGGUCUUGAACAGGCCUAUAGGCGCAAGUAACUGGAAGCUGGGAUUCCCGGACGCACCAGCGACCCGGUCGGCGUCUGAGCGCACGUGUUGCGACCCGAAAGGUGGUGAGCUAUGCUUGGGCAGGUCGAAGCCAGAGGAAACUCUGGUGGAGGACCGCAGCGGUUCUGACGUGCAAAUCGAUCGUCAGACUCGAGUAUAGGGGCGAUAGACCAAUCGAACCACCUAGUAGCUGGUUCCCUCCGAAGUUUCCCUCAGGAUAGCUGGCGUCGGAGAAUUCAUUUCUGGUAAAGCGAA
Molecule: ribosomal RNA, 485 nt
Filed under: Leptonetela paragamiani
Lineage: Eukaryota; Metazoa; Arthropoda; Arachnida; Araneae; Leptonetidae
Description: partial large subunit ribosomal RNA
Rfam family: Eukaryotic large subunit ribosomal RNA
Source: RNAcentral